CAGUCGCCACGGUAAUACGUAGGGUGCGAGCGUUAAUCGGAAUUACUGGGCGUAAAGCGUGCGCAGGCGGUUAUAUAAGACAGAUAUGAAAUCCCCGGGCUCAACCUGGGACCUGCAUUUGUGACUGUAUAGCUAGAGUACGGUAGAGGGGGAUGGAAUUCCGCGUGUAGCAGUGAAAUGCGUAGAUAUGCGGAGGAACACCGAUGGCGAAGGCAAUCCCCUGGACCUGUACUGACGCUCAUGCACGAAAGCGUGGGGAGCAAACAGGAUUAGAUACCCCCGUAGUCCCUGUCUCUUAUAC
RNAcentral lists this ribosomal RNA (301 nucleotides) under uncultured bacterium. RNAcentral's name for it is "partial 16S ribosomal RNA". It matches the Rfam family "Bacterial small subunit ribosomal RNA", at positions 509 to 807 of the family's 1533-position model. The record is from RNAcentral.